Gambusia affinis (western mosquitofish) is the source of this 284-nucleotide long non-coding RNA. RefSeq lists it as uncharacterized. The transcript is spliced from 3 exons. The record is from RefSeq and is a predicted model, not a curated record. Lineage: Eukaryota; Metazoa; Chordata; Actinopteri; Cyprinodontiformes; Poeciliidae.
CAAAGGUCUAUCUGCUCCGACUCUGGAAUGUACAUCGUCGACUUGACUUAGAUUUUGAAGUUGGAGUAAUCACUUUUGGCACCUCUUGGCAUCCUUGCUCCUCUGAUGAUGGAACCUCCGGUCUCUUCACCCAUCACCAUAAACGCAGUUUAAGUCCCAGGAUGGGAAAACAAUAGCUACGUAGAGGAACUGAAGAAAGAGCUACUCCAGGAGGAGUAGCAGCAAUGGGGACAUAAUGAAAUACAGGCUGAAACAUUGUUUUGUCAGUGUCUUAUUUCUCGCCU